Molecule: ribosomal RNA, 495 nt
Filed under: uncultured bacterium
Lineage: Bacteria
Description: partial 16S ribosomal RNA
Rfam family: Bacterial small subunit ribosomal RNA
Source: RNAcentral
UGAACGCUGGCGGCGUGCCUAAUACAUGCAAGUCGAGCGAACAGACGAGGAGCUUGCUCCUCUGACGUUAGCGGCGGAAGGGUGAGUAACACGUGGAUAACCUACCUAUAAGACUGGGAUAACUUCGGGAAACCGGAGCUAAUACCGGAUAAUAUAUUGAACCGCAUGGUUCAAUAGUGAAAGACGGUUUUGCUGUCACUUAUAGAUGGAUCCGCGCCGCAUUAGCUAGUUGGUAAGGUAACGGCUUACCAAGGCAACGAUGCGUAGCCGACCUGAGAGGGUGAUCGGCCACACUGGAACUGAGACACGGUCCAGACUCCUACGGGAGGCAGCAGUAGGGAAUCUUCCGCAAUGGGCGAAAGCCUGACGGAGCAACGCCGCGUGAGUGAUGAAGGUCUUCGGAUCGUAAAACUCUGUUAUUAGGGAAGAACAAAUGUGUAAGUAACUAUGCACGUCUUGACGGUACCUAAUCAGAAAGCCACGGCUAACUACGUG